GGGCGUGUAGCUCAGUUGGUUAGAGCGCAACACUGAUAAUGUUGAGGUCCUCGGUUCGAUUCCAAGCACGCCCACAA
RNAcentral lists this transfer RNA (77 nucleotides) under Candidatus Magasanikbacteria bacterium RIFOXYC12_FULL_32_21b. RNAcentral describes it as "tRNA-Ile". It matches the Rfam family "tRNA". From Rfam's summary of the family: Transfer RNA (tRNA) molecules are approximately 80 nucleotides in length. Their secondary structure includes four short double-helical elements and three loops (D, anti-codon, and T loops). RNAcentral also lists the same sequence under 2 other names. The record is from RNAcentral. Lineage: Bacteria; Candidatus Magasanikiibacteriota.